CACGCGGACACGCCGGGCACCCUGGCGCCUCCCAACUGUUCCCGAUAAAACGAGUCUCCUGAGGCGUGAGGAGGGGAAGGGCUGCAGAAACAGCGAGGAGCCUGGCAUGAACGCUGCGUUUGCUCCCAGGGGAUAUUUCAUCACUACACCAGCCUGGCAGGCACUGGAGAGAAGGACCAAAGUGUGGCUGUGUCUGCUCUUGAGGGGCUUCCAUUUUUUUUUAAGAAUUGAAAAAAUGUUAUUAAUUAA
This is a long non-coding RNA of Monodelphis domestica (gray short-tailed opossum), 249 nucleotides long. RefSeq lists it as uncharacterized. The record is from RefSeq and is a predicted model, not a curated record. Lineage: Eukaryota; Metazoa; Chordata; Mammalia; Didelphimorphia; Didelphidae.